UCAAAACAGCGGCCUUCGGGCCUCGCUGCACCCUUGUCUUUUGCGCACCGUAUUGUUUCCUCGGCGGGCUUGCCUGCCGGUAGGACAUCAUAAAACCUUUUUGUAGUUGCAAUCAGCGUCAGAAAAACUAAUAAUUAUUA
This 140-nucleotide unclassified non-coding RNA is filed under the name soil metagenome. RNAcentral describes it as "partial internal transcribed spacer 1". The record is from RNAcentral.